GGGCGCGCAGCUGAUGCAGGCGAAGCGGGUGGCGCUAGGUACCCCCAGCCCGUGGCUGCCCCCUGGCUCGCGCGACGCCUCCGCGCCCGCCACCGCCCUCCGCCUGUGCGGAAAGACCCGGCCCCGCGAACGCAGCUCGCCUUGGUUGAGUCCCCAAUGUGUGCCUUUGACCCCAAUGUGAACAGGCCCGAGCCAGGGCGACCCUGACCUCCCCGGCUGAUGCUCCAGGUGAAGAGACCGGCCGUAAACCCAAAAGCGAGAUCAUUUCGGAGGUGAAGGAGAUGAACGAGGUGACAUGGAUGGGGCAGACGGCACUGCUUUUGCGCCCAGGUCCUGGGUCUCUAGGCCACCGCCCGUCGUGGCCGCCCCUCUGCUCACCAGGGAGGCCAGACAGGAACCCUGCAGCUGCCAGAGCAAGCAUGUCCCACAGCCUCGGGAGGCCUCCCAAAAUGUGUCCAGAUUCCCACAGGCAGAGAGAGGGACUGAAAGGCUGAAGUGAAGUGACCGUGCCUGCCCAGCCUGGGACUGAGAGCCUGAAGACCAGCUUUCCAGACUCUGUCCCAGAACCCCCCUUGGCCCUCAGCAAAUCCCCUCCUCCUGGCCUGAAACAGACUCCAGGCUUCUUGCAGAGACGUCUUCUGUGGAGAACCAGAAAGCUUGAGUCCACCCUGACUGUCCCGGGACAGAGCUGCUGAGCAGGGUGCAGGAGCCACAAACACCGGAUCUUUCAAGGCACAUCAGUGACAGAUCUGGGCACAGCUGGUCCAGCCAGGACAUUGAGCCACUGCAGCCCCAAGGCUCUAAAUGCGGUGCUUCAGCUCUAGCUUGGCCACCGUGGCCCGGUGCACCUCGUCAGGGCCGUCGGCAAAGCGCAGGGCUCGGGCCCAGGUGAAGAACUGAGCCAGUGGGUAGUCGCUGCUCAGGCCUGCUGCUCCAAAGGCCUGGCAGACACAGGGUGGAGGGAGGCAGCCCUGGGUCAGCCCUUGUCUCCAACAGCCCCAGGAAUGAUAGCCUGCUCUUGAUGGCCCAUAACAACCAUCUUCCCGGUCCCUGUGGCACCUAUGUGAUACAAUCACUAAUAUUCCAGAGGGCUUCCAUGGGGCCACACCUGCCAUCCCACGGCCUCCAGACUCCCCAGGCCCACUCUGCAGGUGCCUUCUGCCCUGUGCUGGGGCCGGGGGUUAGGAUCUAAGGAGGCGGCCACCCUGCAUGGGAAAGAGCCUGGGCUCUGGGCUUAUGAAAACCCAAGUUCAUGUGAAUUUGAGGUCAGCUACUUGCAAGCUCAGUGACCUGGGCAAGUCACUUCACUUUUCUGUGCCCGUUUCCUCACAUUCAAAAUGGGGGUAGGAUGGCACCCCCCACCUUGCUGGGUCAUUCUGAAGAGGAAAAGGAAAGUUGCAUGCGUGGUGAGUGGGUGACACAGGGCAUCUGCCAGGGUCUAUGGGAGGCUGGGCGGCUGAAGACAGGAGAGUUUGGCAUCUGGUAUUGAUGGUUCAAAUAAGCCAACUGUCUGGUCUGUGCUCACCUGAAUCGCACGAUCAAUCACUCGGGAAGCCAUGGACGGGGCGACCAUUUUAAUCAUGGCUAUAUCCAAGGCUGCAGCCUGUAAGCAGGAGGAGAUGCGAUUAUAAAAGACCCGAGGGCAGCCUGGGUGGCAGAGUGAGACCCCCGCCCCCUAUCUCUACUAAAAAUACAAAAACUAGCAGGGUGUGAUGGCAUGUGCUUGUAGUCCCAGCUACUCAGGAGGCUGAGGUGAGAGGAUUGUUUGAGUCUGGGAAGUCGGGGCUGCGGUAAGCUGAGAUUGCAACACUGCACUCAAGCCUGGACAACAGAGUGAGACCCCCUCUCAAAAACAAACAACAGGCCAGGCACGGUGGUUCAGGCCUGUGAUUCCAGCACUUUGGGAGGCCGAGGCGGGCAGAUCACCUGAGGUCAGGAGUUUGAGACCAACCUGGCCAACGUAUAGUGAAACCCAGUCUCUACUAAAAAGUACAAAAAUUAGCUGGGUGUGGUGGUGCACACCUGUAGUCCCAGCUACUUGGGAAACUGAGGCAAGAGAGCUGCUUGAACCCGGGAGGCGGAGGUUGCAGUGAGCCAAUAUUGUGCCACUCUACUCCAGCCUGGGCCACCGAGUGACACUCUGUCUCUCAAAAACAAAACAAAAAACUAAACCACAAAAAAGACCCGAAGGCAGAAAGCCUGGAAGAAUGAUCAGAUUCCCAGCAGGAAGUCAAACACCAUGGUCCAAAACAGAGGCCCCAAGGUCUCGCUGAUGUGAGCUGGGUGAGGCUGCCCCUGCCUGGUGUACGGCUUGACAGCACCCAGGGAUGAAGGGCGCCAUGUUGGCAACUACUAUCUUAUGUCACAAGAUGCAAAGCAAGUGCUGGCAGAAUGUGGCUGUCUUCCCAGAUGACGGGGAACACAGCCAGCACACACUGAAGGGAUAAGGGGAGGGUCCUGUGCUUUGCUCAGGGUCAUGGCCAGCUCUGCCUCCAAGCAGCAGUGGACCAAGGCCACUCAGGGCUCUGGGAAACUGAGCUACAGUGAUCUGCCCUGGGGCAGGGUGUUCAAGGGAGACACCCAGCAGCCUCCACCAUAUCUAGCACACCAGCGUCAAAGAACCAGGAACUGUGAGCAUGGGUUGGUCCCUGACGGCUGAGGGUCUUGGGCGGGGUUGGAGGCUGCCCCACAGAAAGCUGGACAAAGCAAGGUCAACAUGGCAUUGUGCUUGAUCAUCACAGGCACUUAGAAAGAGCCUUAGUUAGCCUGGGCAACAUGGUGAGAGCCGGUCUCUACAAAAAGUAAAGAAUUAGCUGGGCAUGGAGGUAUGCGCCUGGAGUCCCAGCUACUUGGGAGGCUGAGGCUUCAGUGAGCCAUGAUGUACCACUGCAUUCCAGCCUGGCUACAGAGCAAGGCCCUGUCUCAAAAAAUAAAUAAAUAAAAGGUUAAAAA
Gorilla gorilla gorilla (western lowland gorilla) is the source of this 2952-nucleotide long non-coding RNA. RefSeq lists it as uncharacterized. NCBI's taxonomy places the organism in Eukaryota, Metazoa, Chordata, Mammalia, Primates, Hominidae. The transcript is spliced from 2 exons. The record is from RefSeq and is a predicted model, not a curated record.